CUGCGCCACAAGUGGCAGCCACUAUUAUUGGGCCUAAAGCGUCUGUAGCUGGUCAAGUAAAUCUCUUGUGAAAUUGUCAGGCUUAACCUGACAACGUGCAGGGGAGACUGCUUGACUCGGAACCGGUAGGUGUCAGAAGUAUUCCUGGGGUAGCGGUAAAAUGUUAUAAUCCCAGGAGGACUACCUGUGGCGAAGGCGUCUGACAAGGACGGAUUCGACAGCGAGGGACGAAAGCCAGGGGAGCAAUCCGGAUUAGAUACCCGAGUAGUCC
Molecule: ribosomal RNA, 271 nt
Filed under: uncultured archaeon
Lineage: Archaea
Description: partial 16S ribosomal RNA
Rfam family: Archaeal small subunit ribosomal RNA
Source: RNAcentral